RNAcentral lists this ribosomal RNA (858 nucleotides) under Triticum aestivum (bread wheat). Its description in RNAcentral is "partial small subunit ribosomal RNA". Lineage: Eukaryota; Viridiplantae; Streptophyta; Magnoliopsida; Poales; Poaceae. The record is from RNAcentral.
AUGGUUAGAGGGACUGUGGUAUCCCCAGCCCAUCAGGGUUCAAAUCCUGGUGCUCGCAUUUAUUCCUGGAUUUAUUUCAGAAUUUCCAACGAUGUGCAUUUAGUGGGAGGAGACGUUUUCGUCGACGACGAGGUGCCUACGGUGUACUGUGUUCAAAAAAAAAUCCCCAACAUAUUCACUUGCCCCUCCCUGGGUGUCUCACCCUUUUGGAAAGUUGUUCUUUGGGCUGCACAAGCUGUCAAGUUUGGUUAUUCCUCGAAUAUUGGUAAUGGUAAAAAAGCAAGAUUUGGGGAGGAUCAUUGGUUUGGAUCUGCCCCUCUGGCUACUCUGUAUUGGGACUUGUAUAAUCUUGCCAAUGAGCAUGAUAGUACCAUAGAUAGAGUGUGGGACGGGGUCAACCUUAAAAUUACUUUUAGAAGAUGUUUUACCAAUGAGCUCCUCUCUCUUUGGUUUGAACUACUAGAGAUUGUCAAGUCCAUUGUUUAUACUGAUGCAGAAGACUCGCUAGCCUAUAAUCUUAAUUCCAGUGGGGUCUACACUGUUAAAUUGUUCUAUAAAGUGGUUAAUUUUAGGGGGGUACUGCCUAAUAGUACCCCUGCUGUGUGGAACAUCAAAAUACCUGCUAGAAUACAUAUUUUUCUUUGGCUGGUGGUUAAUAAUAAGAUUUUGGCUAGAGAUAAUUCGAGUAAGAGACAAAAUGUCCCUGACACUACUUGUCCCUUUUGCCCUGUGGAUGAAUCGUGCCAUCAUUUAUUUUUUGGUUGUGACAUUGCUGUUGAAUUCUGGAAAGCCGUAUCUAGUAUUUCUGGAUAUAAAGGACCAGCCAAUAUGCUAUUAAACUGGCUGCUAUUAACAUAA